RNAcentral lists this ribosomal RNA (433 nucleotides) under uncultured bacterium. RNAcentral describes it as "partial 16S ribosomal RNA". It matches the Rfam family "Bacterial small subunit ribosomal RNA", at positions 29 to 507 of the family's 1533-position model. The record is from RNAcentral.
AACGAACGCUGGCGGCAUGCCUAACACAUGCAAGUCGAACGAGCCCUCCAGGUCUAUUGGCCCCUGGGUGCGUAACGCGUCGGAACCUUCCCUUAGGUUCGGAAUAACUCCCCGACAGGGGUGAUAAUGCCGGAUAAUGUCUUCUGACCAAAGAUUUAUCGCCUUUGGAUGGUCCCGCGUUGGAUUAGCUAGUUGGUAGGGUAAAAGCCUACCAAGGCGACGAUCCAUAGCUGGUCUGAGAGGAUGAUCAGCCACACUGGGACUGAGACACGGCCCAGACUCCUACGGGAGGCAGCAGUGGGGAAUAUUGGACAAUGGGCGAAAGCCUGAUCCAGCAAUGCCGCGUGAGUGAUGAAGGCCUUAGGGUUGUAAAGCUCUUUUACCCGGGAUGAUAAUGACAGUACCGGGAGAAUAAGCUCCGGCUAACUCCGUG